GCCGGAGGGUGCAAGCGUUAUUCGGAAUCAUUGGGCGUAAAGAGCGUGUAGGCGGCCGGUUAAGUCAGGUGUGAAAGCCCGGGGCUCGACCUCGGAAGUGCACUUGAAACUGGUCGGCUUGAGUUCGGGAGAGGGAAGCGGAAUUCCUGGUGUAGAGGUGAAAUUCGUAGAUAUCAGGAGGAGCACCGGUGGCGAAGGCGGCUUCCUGGACCGAAACUGACGCUGAGACGCGAAAGCGUGGGGAGCAAACAGG
This 253-nucleotide ribosomal RNA is filed under the name uncultured bacterium. RNAcentral describes it as "partial 16S ribosomal RNA". It matches the Rfam family "Bacterial small subunit ribosomal RNA", at positions 524 to 776 of the family's 1533-position model. The record is from RNAcentral.